Molecule: long non-coding RNA, 410 nt
Filed under: Homo sapiens (human)
Lineage: Eukaryota; Metazoa; Chordata; Mammalia; Primates; Hominidae
Description: long non-coding RNA NONHSAT028890
Source: RNAcentral
CCAAAGAGUCACGCGCUUUCAAUUGCCACGUGGAGUAUGAGAAGACAAACCGCGCGCGCAAGCACCGACCGUGCCUGUACGACCCGUCGCAGGUGUGCUUCACCGAGCACACGCAGAGCCAGGCCGCCUGGCUCUGUGCCAAGCCCUUCAAAGUCAUCUGUAUCUUCGUCUCUUUCCUCAGCUUUGACUACAAACUGGUGCAGAAGGUGUGCCCAGACUAUAACUUCCAGAGUGAGCACCCCUACUUCGGAUAGCGCCCCUCCCCAGCCAGUCCUGAGCCUCCCGCCAAAUCCCAGCCUCACUAGGUGGGACCCCCUUCCCAGUGUUCUGCCGCUCCUGUGGCCAUGUCGCCCACUCCUUCCACUCUGGGGGCGGAGGGGAAUGGCUUCUCGGGACCCUCAGCUAGCGUG